CAGCCUCAACCUCCCUGGCUCAAGCGAUCUUCCUACCUCAGGCUUCCAAGUAGUUGGGACAGCUCUCUCUUCCCCUGCUGCAGCAAUUGUGAAAGCCACGCAUUUAGAUGGUGAAGCCACAAAAUGGAAACAGCCUGGAUCCCUGAGUCACCAGAUGCAGAAACAGCUGCCCUGAAAAGUUGUCCAUCUUGCACUAUACAUGCCCAUGUACGAGAAAUACAAGCCUUUUCUGGCCGGGCGCGGUGGCUCACGCCUGUAAUCCCAGCACUUUGGGAAGCCGAGGCGGGCAGAUCAUUUGAGGUCAGGAGUUCGAGAUCAGCCUGGCCAACAUGGUGAAACCCCGUCUCUACAAAAAAUAUAAAAAUUAGCCAGGCAUGGUGGCAGGCGCUUGUAAUCCCAGCUACUCAGGUGGCUGAGGUAGGAGAAUCGCUUGAACCUGGGAGGCAGUGGUUGCAGUGAGCCGAGAUUACACCAUUGCACUCCAGCCUGGGUGAUAAGAGCAAAACUCUGUCUCAAAAAAAAAAAAAAGGCCUUUUCUGUGGUUAAGAAAUGAGAAUCAAGUUUAAGAUAUUUGAGAUUUUUCUUUUUAUUAUUUUUUUCCUUAGAGGUAAUUGUGGGGUGGAGGUGGGGGUCUUGCUAUCUUGCCCAGGCUGGACUCAAACUCCUGGGUUCAAGCAAUCCUCCAGUCUCAGCCUCCCAAGUAGCUGGGACUAUAGGUACACACUACCACACCAGUUUCUUUGAGAUUUUUGUACAUCGG
Molecule: long non-coding RNA, 760 nt
Filed under: Homo sapiens (human)
Lineage: Eukaryota; Metazoa; Chordata; Mammalia; Primates; Hominidae
Description: PREDICTED lncRNA (TCONS_00085195)
Source: RNAcentral